RNAcentral lists this ribosomal RNA (375 nucleotides) under Polycheles typhlops. RNAcentral's name for it is "eukaryotic LSU rRNA". It matches the Rfam family "Eukaryotic large subunit ribosomal RNA", at positions 1163 to 1511 of the family's 3401-position model. Lineage: Eukaryota; Metazoa; Arthropoda; Malacostraca; Decapoda; Polychelidae. The record is from RNAcentral.
AUGAACCAAACGUCGAGUUAAGGGGCCUAAACGAAUGCUCAUUCAGAUCCCAUCGAAAGGCGUUGGUUGCUAUAGACAGCAGGACGGUGGCCAUGGAAGUUGGAAUCCGCUAAGGAGUGUGUAACAACUCACCUGCCGAAGCAACUAGCCCUUAAAAUGGUAUGGCGCUCAAGCAUUCUCCCGAUACUCGACCGCCGGGGCAAUGCUGGCUGUUGUUUCAGGCCUCGAAGCCCCGGUGAGUAGGAGGGUCGCAGUGGUGAGCGCUGAAGGGGUCCGGCGUGAGCCGGCCUGGAGCCGCCACUGGUGCAGAUCUUGGUGGUAGUAGCAAAUACUCGAGAGAGACUCCCUUGAUGACCGAUGUGGAGAAGGGUUCCA